Long non-coding RNA from Ruditapes philippinarum (Manila clam), 382 nucleotides. RefSeq lists it as uncharacterized. The record is from RefSeq and is a predicted model, not a curated record. The transcript has 2 exons. NCBI's taxonomy places the organism in Eukaryota, Metazoa, Mollusca, Bivalvia, Venerida, Veneridae.
UCCUGCCUUGUUGCUUUAAGACAAGUUUACUACAUUUUUCAUUUUUUUUGUUUCAGAAAAGCGACAAUCUUGUAUGCGCUUACUGGAAUUAUUCCGCUAACGAAGAUGCCGGAGGUUGGAAUACCAAAGGCUGCACGUUAGUCUCGAACGAGUAUGGCCGAGUUGUUUGCAAGUGUAAUCACCUUACCAAUUUUGCUGUGCUCAUAGACCUGGAAGCUGGGGGUAUCUCCGACACAGACAAGCUCGUUUUAGGCAUCAUUACAAAAAUUGGACUUAUUAUCUCAAUCAUCGGCCUUGGGAUCACAAUUUUGACGUUCCUGAUGUUUAAGUAAGUAAAAUAUUUGUUUAAAAUGAUGUACAUGUAUAUCUGUUUGUUUUUUUU